UGGCUCAGAACGAACGCUGGCGGCAUGCCUAACACAUGCAAGUCGAACGAGACCUUCGGGUCUAGUGGGGCGCCGGUGCCGAACGGGGGGAAUCUGCCCUUAGGUACGGAAUAACUCAGGGAAACUUGAGCUAAUACCGUAUAAUGACUCCGCUCCAAAGACUUAUCGCCUGAGGAUGAGCCCGCGGCCUAUCAGCUUGUUGGUGAGGUAGUGUCUCACCAAGGCGA
This 227-nucleotide ribosomal RNA is filed under the name uncultured bacterium. RNAcentral describes it as "partial 16S ribosomal RNA". It matches the Rfam family "Bacterial small subunit ribosomal RNA", at positions 20 to 276 of the family's 1533-position model. The record is from RNAcentral.